GGGAUUGUGGCUCAGUGGUAGAGCGCCCACCUAGCAAGUGCGAGGCCCUGGGUUCAAUCCUCAGCACCA
Molecule: transfer RNA, 69 nt
Filed under: Ictidomys tridecemlineatus (thirteen-lined ground squirrel)
Lineage: Eukaryota; Metazoa; Chordata; Mammalia; Rodentia; Sciuridae
Description: Spermophilus tridecemlineatus (thirteen-lined ground squirrel) tRNA
Rfam family: tRNA
About the family: Transfer RNA (tRNA) molecules are approximately 80 nucleotides in length.
Source: Rfam by way of RNAcentral